GGUCUACAUAUAGUCCAGGUCAAGGAUUAUGGCUUCCUGUCAGUAAGAGUUUUGUGGUGCCUCCUGCUGAGUUAUCCGUUAAUCCUCUGGCAAGUUGCAAAACAGAUGUCUUAGUGAAUGAAGACCCUGCAAAUAUAAGGUAAGUAGUAAAGGGGCGUAAAUAUUUAAAAAAUAAAAUAAAAUACUUGUCCAAGGGACUAAGGUGGUAGUUAAAGGACCACUAUAUGCACCAAGACCACUUCAGCUCAAUGAAGUGGUCUUGGUGCCAGGUCCAUCUAGGGUUAACCCUGCAGCUGUAAACAUAGCAGUUUCAUUGACAACCGCUAGAGGUGCUUCCGCGCUUCUCACUGUGAAAAUCAGUGAGAAGAUGCUGACGUCUAUAGGAAAGCAUUGAGAAAGGCUUUCCUAUGGACCGUCUGAAUCCGCAUGCAGCUCUUGCCGCGCAUGCACAUUCAGCCCUGACAUCAGAAGAGGGAGGAGAUUUCCCCAGCGCCAAGUGAUGCCGGCGCUGGGGAAAGGUAAGUGAUUAACCCCUUCCUCCCCCUUCAGCCCGGCGGGAAUGGGACCCUGAGGGUGGGGGGACCUAAAGACCCUAUAGUGCCAAGAAAACAAGUUUGUUUUCCUGGCACUAUAGUGGUCCUUUAAUCAGGUUGCACUCUGAUUCACUAAUGAGCACUGGACCAUGAGGGGACCUUUAUUCUAAUCCAAUGGUGGUGUAGACAUGAUGCUCCCUACCUCGCCCUAAACCCCCACUUCCCCUUCAGCAUCACCGACACAAUCGAUUUGAUCAUGGCUAGAGGCAGAAAAAAAACUGCCUGGCACAAGGAAAUACAUGUCACUGCAUUUUUAAAGUUUUGGAUACCUUGCUUGAUCAAUCAUUUGGCAAUUUUAUAAUAAAGGCUUAUGUUACUAUAUACAUUUCAGUUUCAUUGUUCCUCUAUUGCUUUGCAACUGCGUCACAUUCAAGAUACGCCCUAGUUUUGCCAUGCUUGUAUGUGCUUCCCAGAUAUACUAUUUCUUGGUAACCCUAUCUGUGUCACCCUCGUCUUAUCUAACCCUCAUGCUAACACUAACAGUUCACUGUUUAGUAGAUGCCCAAGCGCUUGCUAAAACUAACUAUAGUUGUAGAAACAUUUUGGAAAUGUUUGCUGAGAUAAUCAGGAUGUAGGUAUGGAUCUGAAUAAAAAAAGGAAAGGAAAGAUUGACAGUCCACAAACAUACAUUUCUGUAACAAAAUACAGAGAAGCAGUAGGUAGAAUAAGGAUGUGGGCUGUAUAACAUUUUGUGUGAAAUUCAUAAUGCAUACAUUUAUAAGUAUUACUUACAAGCUAUAUACAAAUUAGCAGUUAUAGUGAGAAUAUUGUGGACAGUGGCGGAACUACCGUGGUUGCAGGGGUCACAGCUGUGACUGGGCCCGCCACUCCAACCGCCAGGGCCGAACAUUAAGGGACCACCCGGUGUAAAUAAAUUUCCAGGAGGCACAAUCAGUGAUGUGGCGAUUUAACAGUGUGAUAGUGCCCCAUGCGAUGAGUUGAGAGCUGGGAGGAAGUGACUGCCCCAGUCACUCCUCCCAGCUGACACCGGGAGCCGCACGGGAUGAAGGAGAGGAGGUAGUCAGAGUGGGGACUCUGACUUCCAUCAGGCUGAGCCACUGGACCCCAGGAAAUCGCCCUCCUGCAUCUAAAAGGUAGGAAACAGGAGGGUGACUAAAACAUUUUGUAUAUGUAUGUGUGUGUGUCUGCUUGUGAAUCUGUUUUUAAGCAUGUGUUGGGGCAACACAUGGGGGGAGGGGAGAACACCAGGUGCCAGGGCAGUUUUCACACCAGGGCCCUGUGGUUUCUAAUUACGCCUCUGAGGAAGAUAGGUAAAACAGCAUGGCAUCUCUUUUUUGAUUGAAGGUAACUUACUUGAUGGCUUGCAGAUGAUAAUGCAGCAUUUUGGAAAUGAGGGAAAUCAGAGUGUAGUUAUGGAAGUGAAGAAAUAAUUAUUGCUGUCCAUUUGACUGAACAUUUUUCAGGGUAGAUACAGUAUUAUGGAGUCUCUAGACAUUGUCCGACACAGUUUUAAUAAAAUUGAGCCAGGGAGACCAGCAUGUAUUGUAGAAAGCAUAUGCACAUGAUAGAGACAAGUUCAUUUCUUUCACGAGUCUAUUGGAUUCCACCCUCUGAAUCCAUUAUCUGAGGGUUGGAGGGGUUCUGUGUUUCCAUUGCAAUGGAAUUAGCAUAGCUGCUGUCAGUAGGUGAUUUAUCAGUACCCGUUGGCUUUUGGAGAGUGGAGUCAGGUAUGUAAAGAGACCUUAGGUGACAUGGGGAGUUGAACUUCCAGGAUUAUGUGGAUGAGAUUCAUAAUUUUCUUCCAAAAUUUCUGAAUGAAGUCGCAUGACCACCAAAUGUGGCUCGCUGUGCCCUCCUGUUGGAGGCAUCACCAACACACCCCAGAGGAGUGGGGGAAGAGGUGGUGGAGGUUUGAGGGUGUAUAGUGCCAUCUGAAAACCUCAGAUUUCCACUGUUGUCUCUAAUAUUUGUUUGUAGUUGUGUUCGUGGGUGGUGUUACUAAUGGAUAAGUGAAAGAUAUUAGUAAAAAUAUGUUUAUUUUGUUGGGUAGAACGUGAUCUGUAAUUCUUCUUCCGAGCGGGAGAAAAAAAUUGGGUUUGAGGCUGUUAGGGUCCUCCUGGAUGAGUUUAUGAAAUGCGGAGAGUUGUUGCGUUUUUUUGCUUCCAGUUGUACCCAAUGUUUUAUGUUUUUUGGUUGCGACCACUCGUAUAUCCUGGAUAAGGUAAUGGCUUUGUGGUAGGUUUCAAUAUCGGGUAGUCCUAGGCCGCCUCUCGGUUUUUGCAACGCUAGGAGCUUGUGUGGGAGUCUGGGGUGUUUGUGUGCCCAUAUGAACUCUGAAAAUAUGUGUUUUAUUGAUGUGAAUGUCUUAGGCAGGGCUAUGGGUAAGGCUUGCAGGAGGUAUAGUAGUUUGGGGAGAACAUUCAUUUUUAGGAUGUGGAUGCUUGAUAGCCACUCUAACAGAGGUUUGUUCCAUUUAAGUAGAUCCUCUGUGAUUGUUUUUGUGACAGUAGUAUACGGUAUCACCGUCAAGUAUUCCCUUCUUCCCAUAAAAUAAAAUCACCCAAUACUCCACAAGAAGUGUGGUAUCGCCGAAUAAUCCACACAUGAGCCAAAGCUUAAUGCUGGAACAAGACUGAUUUACUGAAAGCAACAGGCAUUCAAUUUAAACAGUAACAGACUCCUCCUCUGGGCCAGGCUAGAUGAUUGAGUUUCAGCAAUAUACUAAGCUCAAUUAUCUGUUGGCCAGAAACAUUACAAUUUAUAACAUUUUCAGAAAAGUACUUUCUAUAAUACAUACAAAUAUAACAUUAACAUCCCUGGGUAGCUGAGGAUACUGGUAGUCAUAUAUCCAAAUCUCACAAAUUUCCGUUUGGCAGUUUCUGUGUCGCAUUGUGUAGAAGUUUGACCGGCUCGCCAUGUGGAGGUAUCCAAUUCAGAGUUCCAUGAAAUCAGCAGCAAGAGCCGGUCUCUGUUCGCGUCUAAUUACGUGAAAACCACUGUUCGUAUGAUGCAGCUGGUUACAUGUGAAUGUUCCCCUCGCUCGGUAGGUUCUACCUACCGAAUGCCAGUUUGAUUUGUGGAGGGGAACAUAUUCAGCCAGGACUUCCAUGAGGACCGGACAUUUGCAUGUUUGCCAUGCCGAAAAUAGUUCCAGGCAAUUAAUGCGUAAGUCCUGCUGACCGCAUUCAUGAGUUUUAAGAUGGCCGCCAUCCUUUGUUCUCUUCACGUGUUCGUAUGCCAAAUGGCGGCCACCUAGGUGCAAUUAAGUUGUGGUUUUCUCUGUAUAUAAGAUAAGCACAAUAGAAAGUGGGUGAUGAAUGGUGAAAAAGACCCAGUGCAGGCAAGCUUCUGUAAAGAGGUCACUCCAACCCCAAAUAUAUACAAAACAAGAUAAAAGAAAACAGAGCGCCACAAUCACUAUAUAGGUGAUAUAAUAGGGUUAAAAGAAAAUGAAUAAAUUGACAAAGAAAAAAUAUAAGGAUAAAACAUAACAGAAUUUUUUUUAUUAAUUAUAAAAUAUCAAUAUUGACAGCACAGAACAUGUGCAAUAUGAAAUGCCACAAUAGGCUAAAUAAGACCCGUAGGUACAGCAGUUAAAAACAAUAAAGUACUGGAUGUGCAAAGUGCAAGUGCCUAGGUGCAAAUGUACAGAUUGAAGUGCACAAAAAAACAAUCCUCCAUAAAUUCAAAUGGUGAACUGAAGACAAAAUAUUGCACAAGCAUUAAACCAGUAGAUAUGUAAAAUAAAGCUGCCGAUACUAAACUGCAGGGUCCACAGGUGGGCUCAACGCAUUUUGUCUCUCGACUUCCUCAGGAGCAUCUUCUCACUUCAAAUUCCUCUUCUCUUUUGAAUCCGCUGGUCAGUGCAGUCAUUUCCGCCGUCGCCCAUGCAUGUGCCAUAGAGGGAGUAUUUUGCUCUUGUGAAGUUAACCUUGAAGUUACAAUAGAGUAAUUUCACUUAGUAGGGCGGGCAUGGAGGUGCUGGGAUCAGUGACGGUGACAAGGAGAUUGUCCGCAAAUGCUGCAAUAUUAUCUUCAUGAUCCCUGAUCUGAAAACCUCAGAUUUCCACUGUUGUCUCUAAUGCCCUGGAUAAAUGGCUCCAUUAUGAUAAUGAAGAAGAUGGGAGAGAGGGGGCACCCUUGCCUUGUGCCGUUGCUAAUUGUGACUGAUUCCGAUAGUUGGCAAUUAAUUCAAAUCUUGAUACUGAGGCUUGAGUAAAGUGGAUUUUGUAGCCAGGCCUGGCCAAAUUCCAUAGCCCUGAGGGUUUCUGGGAGGAGGGACCGGUCAACCCUGUUGAAGGCCUUCUCUACGUCGACCGAGAGAAGCGAGCUUUGUGUGUUGGGCUAGGCAGAUGAGGUUGAGCAUUUUAGAUGUGUUGUUUUUUGCCUCUCUUUCCGGGACAAAGCCCGUCUGAUCAGGGUGGACCAGCCCCUCUAGCAACGGGCACAGGCAGGUGGCUAAGAUUUUUGUAAUGAUUUUCAGGUCGAUGUUGAUUAGGGAUAUAGGUUUAUAACUCCAGCAGCUCAGGGGGUCUUUCCCUGGUUUGGGGUUCAUGGGUUGUGCGAGCUUCUAGGGCAGGGUUUGGAAGUGUGGGAUCGCGUGUGAGGGAGUUGAAAGCUUUAAGAAAUGGGACUGUUAGGAGCUCCUUGAAAGUCUUAUAGUAUUUGGCAGUAUCGCCAUCUGGGCCUGGACUCUUUCUGAGGGCUAGGUUUCCAACUGCCAGUGUAAAUUCUUCCCUCGUUAUGGGGGCAUCAAUGGCUUGUUGAAUAUUUGUAGGUAGUGUGUGACCAAUUCUAGACACAAGAUAUUCCGCAAUCUCCUCCUUGCUAGGCGGACUUGAGCGAGGUUGUAUAAAUCUGAAUUGAAAUCACAGGAUGCCUCCAGUAUGUCAGGGACCCGGUGUGAUGUCUCCCCUGUUUUGGUUUAGAUUUGCCUUUGCCCCCUUUUGAGUAGUAAUUAUAUUUGGGUAGUGAGAGUUUCCGUUUGAUCUAGGCGUCUAGUAAUUGUUGAAGUGUUGACCUAUGUUGUGUUAGUUGUAUGUAGGAGUCUAGUGAGCGUGUCUCCUGUGGGACUCUUCCAUUCGGCAUAUUGAUUGUGUGAGUGUGCGGACUUGUGCCUCUCUGUCUUUCUUUUGUUUGGAAGCUAGGGCUAUGAGGUGUCCCCUGGCAACCGCUUUAUGUUCUUCCCAGGUGAUUGACUGUGUGGUGUUGGGAGAAUAACUUUGUACAAAGUAGUGUUUGAGUGUGUCUAAGAUUUGGGAGAGAAUAAGUGUGUUGUCAGCUUCCAUUGGAAAGUCUUUAAUGGGAGGGAUGGAAUUAAGAUGGUCAGAGACAGUGCUGCAUGAUCUGACCAAGUGAUUGGUCCAUAACUGCAGUGGGUGAUGAGGUGGAGGAACCUGUGGGGUAUAAACAUCAUAUCUAUUCUGUAGUAUGUGUCCAUGACCGGGGAGUAGUAGGAGUAGUCUUUGGAUCCUGGGUGGGUGAUCCACCAGCAGUCACACAUUUGUGCUUUGUCUAGAAGAUGGGUUAUUUGUCUACGGGCAGAGGCCUGAAAGGGAUACAUUCAGGUACCCUCCCAUGAUCAAUAUCCCUUCCUGGAAUACUUAUAUGAUCCUAAGGAAUUGCCGUAGCAAUCUGCUUUGGGUUUUAUUUGGUAGGUGUAGGUUUGCAAAUGUCACUGUAUUUUGACCUAUACUACCUUUAGCCAUUAUCAGUCUCCCUGAGUCUUCUGCAUAUUGAUCCUUAUGGGUGUAGGGUACUCAAGAGGAUAUGAGGAUUGCCACUCCUCUUUUUUUUUGCUACAGGAUAUUUAUUGAAGGGAUGGGGGACCACAGUGUCAGGUCUGUCUGGGAGGACAGGGGGAGGUGGUCGUCUAGACGCCUGCAAGAUAUGGUGGUGGGGCCCUGUGGACUUUAACCUUCAGCCAACCAUGGUUUCGAUAGAGAACUUGUGGUGGGUGGGGGAGGGGGAAAUCGUCAGUAGCACUGGGCUUGUUGGUUGUGCCUGGGUUGUGAGACAAGGAUCUGCUCUGUGGGGAUGGGGGGGGGAUUCCUAAUAUGGGGUGCUUACGGAGGCAAACUAUCUUACUGCUCCCUUUAAGUGAGCUGUGUAUCCACCUAAGUCCGUACAGCUGUGCAGCUUCGCUGAAGUAGGUAGCAGAAAGUUCAGUGAGGGAGCCGGAGAGUGGGUCCAUUGAAGAGGAAGGCAUGUAUAGUAGAAUACCGUUCAGUUUCCUGCAUGUAUGGUGACACAAUACCUGUGGGGGGGGUGAUUUAGGUCAUCUAAUGUCUCUGAGUAGUGGUGCUCUGUGAGUAUUGGUCUUCUGUGCUCCCUGUGGAUCAUUUCUUCUCCGUUUAGGUGGGGUGCCCCAUUGCGAGUUCUUGGCCCGAUGGAAACGGAUUGUGCUGAAGGUUAUUGCACGUCCAUUCAGAUCGGACUCUGGCGCCGCCCCCUCCUGGCUGCUUACUUUUUUAUGUGUAUUUCCCUUCUUGCAGCAUGGUGGGUGGAGGCAUACAGUUGUAAUUAAAAUUGUUCAACACCCAUUAGAAAUCAAGUGUAUAGUCAAACUUUACAGCUGUUUGCAAUGAAUAAAUCAAACAAAAGCAAUUGAAAUAGCUCAACACUAGCUCAGCUCAGCUUUUUCCAUUUUUCCUUAUCUAGGAGUUAUCCUGAUGAGGGCAAGAGCCCAACUAGGGGUUCCCCCCCUUUGGGAUCUAUACCCAGAGUUUAGGACUCAGGGUUAUGUGUAUGAAUGCCCCUCAUAUAUGAUGGGAUUGUGUAUGAAUGGUGUGGUCAGUGUGUCAGGGGCGGGGGCUCAACUUCAGACCAGGAAGGAAUUUACAAAGCAAGUCCAUCAAGAUUAUGGUUAAUAGAUUCUGGAGAAUUAUUCAUAAUUCAAAUUUUGAGCAUGACAUUUUUUUUUAUAUCGACUGACAGGAGGAUGAAAAAUUGUAAUGGUUAAAAUUAUCUUGUUAAAUUCUCAGGGCCUAAAUUCUCCUUGCAAGAGGGCUUUUUUUUUACUAUAUCAAGAGAGAAAAAGCUCAAAACAUCUUUUUACAAGAGAUACAUUGGAGAAGAGAGGGCAGCUUAAGAUUUGUCCCACACAGGUUUUCAAUAAUAGUAUCCACCUCAUUAGAGAAGCAGAGGAAGAGAGGGGUGGCUAUUCUGAUAAGUGACAACAUAGAUGCUAAAAUCAUUUACCAAGAAACAGACGAGGAAGCAAGCGUUAUAAUACUGACAAUAAAAAUUCAAACAGAAAUGCAUACUCUAGUAAAUGUUUAUGCACCUAAUAACCCUCCCAAUAAGUAUUUUUCUGAUUUUUUUAGAUACAGUUGAAAAAAAAAAUAAACAGGGUAAAGUACUCCUAGCGGUGAUUUCAAUUGAAUUGUGGACACUAGUUUAUUUAUUUAUUUUUAUUUGUAAUUUAUAAGGUACAUUGACAAAUAACGUUUUCCAGGAUUAUCCAUAGUGUCUUAUGGGUUUGCCCUUUUACUAAAUCAUUUGCUUUUUUAGUUUUGUGUUGCGUGUGUUAAGUCAUAGGUUGAUAUGUCUUCUCUCUGGGUCUGUGAUUUGUAUCCAGAGAUUUAAAAACAUAUAUACGUUUGGAGGCUUGUUUCCCUAUGUUCAGUUACUUUUGCCGGAAAUUAAUGUUCCCAUAUUAUAUGGUAGUAGAGUUGUGGUAUAGGUUUGUGUAGCUGUCAUUUAUGUAGAGGCUUGCUCUUCUACAUCCCCCGAGCAUCGAGCUUGCCUCCUGUUGUCUAUGCCCUGUUCACUCUUUUUUGGAGGGUUCCUAUAUGUGUCCCAUAAUGCCCAUGCCUCUACCCAAAACUUUUGUGGCGCUCGGUGGGCCCUAGCCAUACAUUCAUAUGUUUUGAUUGUGUCGAUCUGUGGGAUGCAUGUUUCUAUCCUCGGUGGGUCUUUACAGAGCCAGGCUUUAGCUAUGUCUGUGAUUACCACUAUGAUAAUGUGAUAUACAAGAUAUCUUUGUGUUUUGGGUAGUUGUGGUGUGAUAUGUUGUAUGAGGAAUAUAUCUGGUGUUAACAGUAAUUCAACCUUCCCUAUGUCUUCCCACAGUUGGGUGAUGGCAGGGCAUGUCCACCAUAUAUGUAGAGUAGUGCCAGAGUCGUGCCCACAUCUCCAGCAUGCACCUGUUUGCUUAGGAUCUAUGUGUUUUAGUUUGGUUGGUACCAUAUGCCAUUUAUAUAGCAUUUUCCUAGACAUCUCUACGUGGGGGGAGCAAAGACUUAGUGGUUUAUUGGCCAUAAAAAUGUUGUCACCAUGCUUCUUCUGGCAGUGGCCUGCCUAUAUCUUUUUACCACAAUUUCACAAAAUUCAUGUUCCAUAUCUCCUCUGGGGGGUGGUAGCUGUCAUAUAGUUUAGAGAUGAUACCUGGUGGAUUCGUGGGUUUCUUGCAUAGUUAUUCCAACAAAGAUAUUUUCCCCUUUGCGUUCAUUGCAUGUGUUUGUUGUAUAAUUCUUCUCUCACCACCAAUAAUUCCAAUUGGUAUUAUUUUGAGAGAAAUUCACUCUGUGUUGUGUAUUAAUAGUGAAUGUAAGAUCUCUGUGUCACCUAUUCCAAGAACUAACAUAUAUCUUUAUCCCCUUGUCCAGAUAAAUAUAUGACUAGAACUACUAAAGUAUUCUACCCGAUAUUACAAAUAAACUCAGGGGUCAUGACAGCAUUGAGGUCCCCUCCCAGAAUCAUAUGGUGGGAGGUAAAUAGUUUCAUGUGUGCCUGGAGAAUAGUCCAGAACUCCUGGUCUGGGAGGUUGGGGGCAUACAUGUCAGGAUUACAGUAUGAUCCAGCACAUAGAAUUGUGUAACACAGAGGACUGAUAACGUAAUGUAUACUGGACCUUAGAAUGGCCAGACUAACGUACCAAAGAAUCAUCAGGAAUAGCCGAGGUCAAGGGAUACAAAAAAAGACACAACAAUAAGGAAAAGCCAGAAAACAGGGAAGUCAAAAACAAUGCCAAAGUCAAAUAACCAGAAUAAGUAACGCGCUCUCGGACAACCACAAGGGAAACCACGACAGGGCACUGAGCAGGAUGAGGACUGGGCCCAAAUACCCCUCCUCUAGAUCUGAUAGGCUGUAACCGCCCUUUGACCCCAAAGGCAGUUACCAGGUUCCAUUUGCAUAAUUGCUGCUCAGCAUUAACCGUUCUGUGGAUUAGGUUGCUGCUCGGCACAACUUUUCCUGUGUGGACAGUAAAUGUCAUUAACCACAUUUUUAUAAGCGGAUGGAUACGUGACAAUAUACCAAUGUGAUCACGUAUUUGUGGUUCCCUAAGUUUCCUGCUAUUGUCAGAUAUCUGCCUGCGGUUCCGGAAUGGUUUGUGCAAAUUGUAUGGGGAAUGAUUUGUGGAUUAGCCACUCUGUUGUGUUUUCCAUUGAGGGGGGUCACUAGGUGGCAUUUGGUGUAGUGCUUAUUUUUGUAAGGGGAAGGGUCUGUUGUUCUUGUAGUGUGUUUCUUGGAUAAGGAUCGAUCCUGCUUUUGAGCGGUUAGCCCAGCGUAAUAAUUGUAGUUGUUUAGCAGGGUUAUUGAGGCCCUUGCAGUUCAAUGAGAUGCAUGAGAUUGUUCUAGGCAUAAUAAGUGGUCCUAGAAUAUAAGGGUUAGGGUGGGGGAAGAUGGGUCUGCGGGUCUGGCUCCCUCCUUUUAUAGUGGGUGAGUAUAGGGGGGGCGAGGGGAGGAGGGCUGGAGUGGUAGAAUGGGGGAAAGGUAAGGGUGUGGGUGAUGGUUCCCUGGUCUUACGGGUCAUCAGCCAGGUAAACUAGGGGGGUAUCAGUAGGGCCUGUGGGGUGGGGUUGUGUGUAAGUAGUGUCCUUUGGUGUGUAUGUGGUGGAGAGAGGAGGGAGGUUUUCACGUUCCCGUCACCUCUCCCCCCAAGCACGGUGUGUGUGUUUUCACUCACGGUUUUUGAAGUGUGGUGUCGUUCCUGUUCAGUGCCGGGUGCUGUCCCUUUGUAGAGUCAUGUGGGUAGAAGUGGCAGCUUCUUGUGUUCAGGUCGGGUUGUUGGUUGCAGUGUCGGUGGGUCCUUAAGGUAUGUCAUUGGGAUGGUGCUCAAUGAUGGGUCAGGCAAAGUCCGUCUGUCUCCUAGCAGCUAGGAACUCUGUUCAGCAUAAAUAUGGUCAUUGCAUAAACCAGUAUCAAUGAGCUAUAAUAUACAUGUGUAGGUAACAUAGGUAAAAACAAAAAAAAAACAAAAACAACAUAACAUUAAACUUUAACAACUAUCUUAUGGGGGUGUGUGGGGGGUGAGGGGGUAAUGAUUCCUCUCAGUCUAGUGUGUAUAUAUAUUCCUGGACAGUCUGAUUAGGCAGGGUGUGGGGGUCUAGCACUGUUAGAUUGUAACCUGUCAGGUCAGUGAGGAGCUUGUAGCAUUUUGGGUGGGAUGAGGGGGUGGGGGUUGUCUUGUCUGUCUGGGUGGGGGGUCGGGUUGUGCGGUCGUUGAGGGGGUGUUGGGUCUCGUCCUGUAGGCAAUGUUUGAAAGGUUUGUGUGGGGGGGGAGGUGUAAGUCUUUACCCUGGGUGAGGGCCUGUUUCCCAGUUCCCUCCAUCCCUCCCAAGAACAGUCCCCUUUUACUUGCAAUGUCCCAGUGAGUUGUUGAUUAGUAGCUGGCUUUUCCAGUUAGGUAGCCGUCUGUCUGGUAUUGAUUCGUGUAGGUAUGUUGUAGCGGUCUGGUGCCGGUUCGCUUUUGGUGGGUCCCGCUGGAUUAUCAGGUUGGUUCCUUUUUGGAGUGUUCAUGUGAGGGUAAUCAAAGGGUGCUGUCUGUAUUGCAGGGUCAGCAGCUUGAGGUUUGCUGGUGUCUCUAGAGGUCUCAUUCCUUUAGCUUAUUUUUGUUGUUUAACCUUCUUCUAUAUGUGGGGGUCGUGGGUAUAUUCCUGUAUAUGCCAAAUUGAAAAUAGAGGGUGACCGAAGCGGCAUAGUCUCUUGGUCGUCUGUCUAGGGGGCCCAGUUGUUUGAUUUUGAGUUUGGUAAGAUGUGGUGGGUUAGAACCGCCAGUUGUUUUCAGUUCCUAUGCUCGUCGAAGCUGAGUUAGUGGGGGUGUAUGGUGAGGGUGGUUGCCUUAAUAUUUGUGGGACACGAUGUGUGUUGGUUCCUAAAAGGUGGGUGGCAGGGUGAGGUGGCAUACCUCGACAUGGAGAGAGACGUCGUGUCCCAGGCAUGUCCCUCAGCAGUUUUAGAGGUGGUUAUGGAUCUUGUGUGGUGAGGCCCAUGUCUGUAGUCACGUUGUGCCGAAUCCUCGUCUUUUUAGACGGGCGGGGGGACCGUGAUCUCUCGGUGGGACGGUCCUCUGCCCCUUGCCUGGUAAGUGGGUUAUGCUGUGCUACUUGAAUCCCCAACAAUUUGGAGAAGGGGCCCUUAUCUGCCGGAGACAUUAGAAUAUAGGUUAGCAUAUAAAAUAUAGACAAUUAGUUUGAAGGGAUAGCCCCAUGUGUAUUUCAGGCCCAGUUGUUGAAGGGCUGUGGUGAGGGGUUUAAGGUCUCACCUCUUCUUCAGAGUCAUGAGGGCGAGAUCCUGAAAGAAGGUAAGUUGGUGGUCCUUGUAGUUAGGCAGUUUGUAUCUUGCUAUUUGGAGUAGCUUUUCUUUUGCAGGGAAAUUGUGUAUUCAAAUGAUGAUGUCCCUGGGGGUGUUUUGGUUCAGGUUUGGGGGUUUCAGGGCUCAAUGGGCUCUAUCCAUUUCCAGAUCCCUUGCUGUGAGGUCUGGUGCCAUGGCCCUGAAGAUGUCUUUCACGGUAGGGAGUAAGUUGUCGAGAGAGACUGCUUCUGGUAGGCCUCUGAUCUGGAUGCUGUUUCUCCAUGAUCUAUUGUUGAGGUCUCCCAGGCUAUCUUCUAGGGCUGCUAUGCAGCCAUGCAAGUAGGAAACAUCUUGGGCCUGUUCUGUGGUGGUCGAUGAGAGCUUGGUGAUGUGAGUAUCUGCCAGGUCUGCUUUGGCGGUGAGCGCGGCUUCACUGUGAGUUGCCUGUUGAUUUUGGCGGCCACGUGUGAAUUUAUGUCCACCGUGGUUCGUGAAGCAUGCCUCUAAUGAUGACGAUGGUAAGAGGGGCAAUGGGAUCCGUUGCGGGGGUAAGUGGUUCUGGAUCAGAAUCCUCUUCUUCUACAUGCUGUGAAUUGCCAUUCCCCUGUGUGGUGCUCGGUGUGCGGAACAUUAGUGCAACCAAUGGGGUUUGAUUAUUUAUUUAUUUUUGCCUCCCAUGGUGUCCAGGGUAGGGCAGAUGAUGUAGGAGUAUUUGGUGAUGAGUUUGGGUGUCUAUGGUAAAGGUAGUCGCGGAUGAUCGUGCUAUGGGGAGAGAGAACCUAAGAUUCAGGCGUCCAUCUUCCUUCGAGGUCAGGCUCCGUCCCCCAACUCACCAUCUUUUUAGACACUAAAAAUAAUCCUGCACUAGCAGGAGAGGAUAAUUUACACAUAUGGCCCUUAUUUAGGGAGUCUUUGAUAUACUUCUCCAUUAUUCUACUCUCCUUUGGGGAUAAAGCAUAUACUGCUACCUUGUGCAAUACCUUCUUAACCUCCCAGUAUUGGGAACUUUGGAGGUUUGAGGUGUUGUAGUGGGUAAUGUAAUGGUGCCCACUCUCUUGGUAAUGUGUAACAUACACCUCUCCGUACAAUCUUUGCCCCAUUCCAAUAUUUCCCCAUUGGCCCAGUCAAUAUGAGCAUGUGCUUAAUAAGCCAAGGAAAGCCUAAUAUGAUGGGGCAAGUAGGAGAAGCAAUAAUUUGGAAUGCUAUAUCUUCCUUAUGUAAAGCACCAAUGGGCAAGGUUCCGUGGGUAAUUAAGGGUUGAGAGAGCGGUCUCCCAUCAAUAGCCUCAACGGCCAGAGGUAUUAGUCUCUCCUUGUUCGGUAUAGUAUUUUUCUUUUACAGAAUAUACAUCAAUGAAGUUCCCUGCCGCACCUGAGUCCAUCAAGGCCCUGCAUGAAAAGUUGUUCUUGUUACAUUUAAUUGUAAUAUCAAGGAGGAAACUUUUUUUUUUUUGUUAUUCCCAGAGGACAUAUCCAUCACACCCAAGACCUGUCCCCUUAAGAUUCUUAGGUGCACAUGUUUUCCGGACAUAUGGGACAAGAACUCCUCAUAUGUCCUCUUCUACCGCAGUAUAGCAUAGGCCCUAUAUUCUCUUAUGUUGUCUUUCUGCUUCUGACAGUCUUUUGACCCCCAACUGCAUAGGUUCAGGUUCAGACUGAACAGGCGGGGCAGGAACAAUAGGUCUGGAAAAACAAGGUGCUAGUGACAUAGCUAUACGUCUAGUUCUAUUUCUGGUAGUUUCUCUGGUUCUUAAUCUAUUAUCAAUAUGCAUGACACAUGUUAUAAACACGUUUAAUUUUUUUAGGUAGAUCUUUGGUAGCAAUCUCGUGCAAAAUUGCUGCAAAAUAAUCCUUUUUUGAAUGCAGAGAUCAACCCACUAUUAGUCCAGUCUACCACAGCCAAGGUGCAAAAUUAUAUGACAUAAUCUGAGAUAGACCAGUUCCCUUGUUUGAUAUGCAGUGGAGGUGUCAUCCUCCCUGCCUAAUGGUUUGAAUGUUAAUUUGAAUUCUGCAAGGAAUUCCUGUUAAUUAUGUGCAAUACUCCUAUUAGUCUCCCAUAACGGAUUGGCCAAAGCUAAGGCUUUACCCUUAAGUUGGUUCAUCAGGUAACUAAUCUUAGCUCUAUCUGUGGGAAAAGGUCCCGGAGAGGCUUCAAAAUGAUACUCAAUUUGAUUCAGGAAUCCCUGGCAUUCUUGAAUAUUACCAUCAAAAUGCGGAGGAGGAGAUAGGCAGAUAGUUGGUGCCUUAUGUACUAUAGGUGGAAUUACUCUAGGCGGAGGUGACACAGGCGGAGAAGCCGCAGGUUGCAGAUGCACUGUUCGAGUAAGAAGCAUACUCAAAGCCUGGGCAAAUUGAUCCAUAUGGUGAUCAUUCUCCUCUAGCUUUCUCUCACAAGCAGCUAUGUGCCAUGUCAUAAUGUGCCAUGCAUUCAUAUGUAUAUGUUGAGUCUAUUCUACCUAAAAUCUCUGACACGGUGGGCGUCUGUGCGGUCUUCCACGUGUGGGCAAUUGCAUUUUUUGUUGCCAUUAAGCAAUGGAUCACUAGGUAGACCUCAUCCUCAGGGAGAGUGUUCGGGAAAAUGUGUAAUAUAAAGCAUUCCGGUCUCAUUGGUACCUCGAUCCCCAAGCUGUUGCAUAGAAGUGUUGUUAUGUUUCGCCACAAUGUAGUAAUCUUUGGGCACGUCCAGAAUAUAUGAUAGAGGGUCCCUUCCUGAUUGUGGCAUCUCCAACAUAAUUUGUUCGUCCCUGGAUAUAUGUGAGCUAGUUUGGUAGGGACUAAGUACCAGCACAUAAUUAAUUUGCAGAACGUUUCCCACUGGGUGAGACUAUGGGGGGCCUGCUUUGUUUUCUUUUGAGCGUGGUACCAUGUUGCUUGUGAGAAUUGUUUCCCUAUAUCCAUUUCCCAUUUAGACAUGUAUGGGGAUUUUGCUGUUUUAUUUUGGAGUAAGAGCACAUUAUAGCAAAGGGACAUUGCUUUAACAUUUGGUAAUUUCCCCAUAUAUUUUUGGAUGAAUGGUGGCAAGAGGUUGGGCUCCCUUAAACUAAGCCUACAUUCCUGCACUAUGUUCCUGAUUCGUAGGUAAGAUAAUAUUUCCUGAGGUUUCCGGGAAUGGUUUGAUACCAGCAGAAGUCAAUAAGGAGCGUACACGGUGAACCCCUUAGUCUUAGCCAAGGGUCUACCUGCAGAUUUGUCGUUCGGGCAGGUAAGGAGUAGGUCAUUCUCUUGUAAGAAUAGUGGGGUAGCCUGCUUCCAUGUGUGGAGCAACAUUUCUGUGACUGGUAGCAAGAUCUUUGACCUGGGGAGCUUUGUUCCUGCCCAAAGCGUAAGUGGAAUUGUGCCAGUGGGCAUGCAUGCAUUUUCCAACGCUAGCCAUACCGGAGGAGAUGAAUGCUCAAGGAUCGUGAGGCCUUGUGCCAAUAUUGAAGCUUUGUAGUAUAGUUUUAAGUUGGGUAUGCCCAGUCCGCCUUUUGUGAAUGUGCGCCACAGUGAGUUUUGUGCUAUCCUUGGAGGUUUCCGUUUUCAAAUGUGUGCGUUAAUUGUAGCCUGGAAGUUCUUUAAUAUAGGAUUUGGAAUUGUAAUGGGCAGGGUGCGAAAUAGGUAUAGUAUGUGUGGUAAUAUAAUUUUUUAUGGUGUGGAUCCGCCCUAACCAUGAGAUCUCUUUGUCCUCCCAUGCCUUAGGUUGUUGUUCUAAUCUGUGAAUGAGCAGUGCAGGGUUUUCCCAUAUUAUCGCCGAUUGUAAUUCUGGCUGUUUUAUACCCAGAUAUGAAAGAGUGGUUUUUCGCCAAUCAAAGGGGUACAGUGUUUUCAGGUGUGUUAGAGAGGAGGGUGCAAGACCUAUCGCCAGUGCUUGUGUUUUUUUGGCAUUGUUCUUAUAGCAAGACAUCUUCCCGUAUCUCUCCAGCAAUGCUAGCAGGUUUGGUAAGGAUGUCUCCGGGUGUGUUAAGAAUAGGAGAACAGGGCUAUUUUUUGGUCCCCUAGAGGUGUUUCUAGGCCCCCAAUAUUGUGUUCAUUUUUAAUGUGUCUGAUUAGGGGUUCCAUGCACAGAAUGAGUAUUAAUGGAGACUGGGGGCACCCCUGCCUGGUGCCAUUUUUUAUUUGGAAAGGUCGCAAUAGGAACCCAGAGUUAAAUAUUUUGGCUGCAGGUCUGGAAUAUAGGACCAUAAUGCAUUUUGAGAAUUCUAGUGGGAUACCCAUGUGUAACAAUACAGCCCAUAUGUAUGUCCGAUUUAAGUGAUCAAACGCUUUUUCCACGUCUAAAGCUAGAAGUAUGCCUUUUUGGUUAGUAGUCUGGGCCCAUGUGAUUAAGUUUAAAAAGUGGCAUAUGUUAUACCCUGGCUGCCUAUUCGGGACAAAUCCUGCCUGUUCUGGACAGACUAAAUCUUGCAAGAUGGGUUAUAGGCGCGUAGCUAGUAGCUUGGCAUAUAGUUUUGUAUCUGCAUUUAGCAGCAAAAUGGGCCUCAAAUUGGCACAUUCGGUGGGAGGUUUGCCUGGUUUGGGAAGCGUAACAAUAUGGGUUAGCAGCAUCUCUUCCGGUAUGGACCCUGAUUCCCUAAAAAAGUUAAAAAGUUCUGUAAGGUACGGUGUUAGAUGUGCCUCAAAUGUGGUGUAAAAGUGAUUGGAAAACCCAUCUGGGCCCGGAGCUUUGUGUUUGGGCAGUUUGUGUAUUGCGUUUUGCAUUUCGUCUUCUGUGAAUCUAGCUGUCAGUAUCGAGCUUUGGUGGGCAGUCAGGCGUGGUAGAUUUGCCUCUUUUAGGAAGAUAUCUAUUUCUGACUCGAUUGGCUGGUAUAGAAUUUUAUCCUGUGUGUGAUUGUAUAGCUUAUUUUAAAAGGUCGUCAAUUCGUCCACCUUGUCUUGUGGGUUAAAUAGUUUUGUCCCUGCGGCUGAUGUCAUGUAUGGGAGUUUGGAUUGUAUAUAUUGGGAUUUUAAGCAUCUUGCAAGCAUUUUCCCCGCCUUAUUCCCUUGCAUAUGGUAGGAGAGCUUCAACUUGCGUAGCUGUCUUUCCAUAGUUAUUAAGGACAUUGCAUGUAGAUCUUCUCUUUUCAAUUUUUGGGGAUAGCGUUCUAGUUGAUCUUAAUUUAUUAUCCCUGUCUAGUGUUUUGUGUUGAGCAGUUUAGUGUGAGCAGUUUGUCUGUUUCGUUGUAGACCUUCCGUUUGUUUGUCGACCCUGCUUGGAUUAGUAGACCUCUCAGUACUGCUUUUAGGGUCAUCCAUUUAGUGUCAAUGCGUGAGGGAUCUUUCUGAUGAUUCUCAUAAAACGUCUUGAUGCUUAUGCAUAUUUUGGCGGCUGUAUCCGCAUUAUCUAUGAGGGAUUCGUUCAGGCACCAUGCACUCCGUCCUCAAGCCGCGUACAUGGCCCUGAACAUAGUAAUUACAGGUGCAUGGUCGGACCAGGUCCUGUCCCCUAUUUGCACUUCUAUGACAUUUGUUAUAGAGCUCUUGUCCACCCAACACAUAUCUAUACGAGAAAAAUAAUUUUUCUCCUUCGGGUAUAGGAUGCGCGAUGUGUCAUAGAGAUCGUUCGUGUGGAGUAGUGUGCUAAGGUUAUAGCUCAUAGUACUGGCUUGCUGUAAUGGAUGUUUACUCUCAAUUCGUUUGAUAUCUAAUUCGGGGUCCAGCGUGCAGUUAAGGUCCCCACAAAUUAUAGUAUGUCCCACACGUAAGCUAAUUAUCUUGUUUAGCGAUCUUUUUAUAAAGGAGGUUUGGGAGUUGUUGGAUGCAGUUAGCAUGGGAUACAAUGGGGAGCCUUUGCACUCCUUGUCCAUUGAAAUUCCCGUGGGGGGGUCGUGCGGAGCGGGUCCGCACCCGGCCAGAUUUUUGUUAAUAAACUGCAUUAUUGUAGGCAACUUCAGAGGGGGGGAUUGAUUGUGGACAACAGCCUCUAUUUUAAUAAUUGCAUUUCGGCAUUACAUUAAUGUUGUAGGACGUUGUGAUGCGAUUUAUCUUCCGGGUUCGGCACUUCUGCAUUGCGGAGCUGGCCCUGCCCCCUUCUGACGCGGCUCUGACAGUACUUAGGGAGACCGCACCAUGGAGAAGGCGCUUGAUGAUUGUGGGACCUACUUCCGCGCAUACACGCCAGCUCCACAAGCUCUGACAAGCCGUCCCAGCCUUUGAACUAAAUGCAAGGAUUGCUGCAUGCCAUAAAGGAUUACUGGAGAACGGAUACUUUGCUAAUUUACAAGUGGACUAUAACUCUGAACUCUUGGAGGGCAACUCACCUUAACCUCAAGUAUAUCUUUCAACCGUUGUCUGCAAUAUCAUUUAUUAUUGGAACCAUUCCUGCUUGCUUAAAUCUUCUCUGCUUCAAGUUAUUAAUUAUAUGGAGGACAACUCCUAUCAUGCUUAUUUACUAUGAACUGUUUCUUGCUUUGCAAAUACUCUCUGCUACCUGCUUAAUGUUUCUAUUAAAGAUUAUUCCCAGCAACCUAAAUAUUCUUAUUAAAAAUGUCUCUUAGGAAAUACUUAUUAAUAAACUUUGUAUUGUUUGAUAACCUGCACUUUCUUCUUAUUGGAUUAUUGCCUAUAUGCAAUUAAUUUAAGGUUAUCAAUAAUUAAAACUUUGUUUGAUUCUCAAAUUGUCAGCAAUCCUCUCUUUUCUUAAAGCUACAGUAUUGAUACUUUAAAGAUUCUUUGUUUCUUUACUAUUGUAAUCAAGGAGUUCUACAAGCUGCAGUUGAGUUCCAAUCCAAAUAACCCAAGUAGCAUAACAAAAUCACCAAGCCUAAAAAUGGAACCAGCAGAUGUGAAUUCCCAAAUUACCUCUUUAAACCACAGGGUUGAAAUACUCACACAAGGCAUGCAGGAUUUGCAAAUUGCUAAUGAAAGACUUAUUUCUUAUAUUAGAGAAAUGCAAAAUAAAGUUACACAUUCUUCAAGUGACCCUGCUGUCUGCAAUCCCGAAAAAAAAAUAUGGAGAUCGUUCCAAAUAUAGAUAAUUUGUGAAUUCAUGCAAAUUAUUGUUUACUCUCAAACCCAGGGCUUACCCCUCAGACAGGAUUAAGGUGUGUUCAAUAAUUUCCUACUUAAGGGGUGAACCUAUGUCCUGGGCACAUUCAUUUCUGGAAAAUGAAGAUCCUAUUUUGGAUUCUUUAGAUAAUUUUAUUGAGGCAAUGUCAUUACUAUAUGAGGGCCCUAAUAAACAAGCAACUGCUGAUCUUACUAUUAGAUUAUUACAACAAAGAAAUCGUCCUGUGGAGGAUUAUAUAGCUGAGUUCAAAAGAUGGGCUUCAGAAACCCAAUGGAAUGAUAUUGCUCUACGUACAGUUCCGUUUAGGAUUAUCUGAAACAGUUAGAGAUUAACUAUCUAGAACCACUCUUCCCCCAACACUUGAUACAUUAAUUCAACUCUCUAUUAGUAUAGAUUGAAGAAUCAGAGAACGUAAAGCUGAAAAUGCUCUCUCUAAUUCAUUUUGGAAAAAACCCAGUCCACCUUUGCUAAUGCCUAACAAACCCUUGCAACCCAGUGAACCUGUGAAAGUUAGGUUUCCUAGGGGACCUUUGUCUAUGGAAGAAAAAACAAGGAGGAGAGACUUAAAUCUUUGUAUGUACUGUGCCUCUAAAGAACAUCUCUUACAAGAAUGUCCUCUUCUAAAACACUCUAGGGAGGUAAGCCUAAAAUUAAUACCUCAAUUCUAAAAACACUACCCUCUUCCUCCUCUCAUCAGUUUGCUGUACCUCUAAUUUUACAGUGGGACAAAGAAAGAAUCAAGACUGAGGUCAUUAUUGAUUCUGGUGCUACUGGGAUAUUCAUAGAUUCUUCGUUUGUUGAAGCCAAUAAAAUUCCUUGUCUGAAAAAAAGCAUAUUUUGUCUCCAUCAGAGUUAUUGAUGGAUCUUUAAUUCCCUCUGGUCCCAUAAAAAAAUGAAAUUAUUCCUAUUUUGACCACUAUCAAUAAUAAUCAUUCAGAAUUUAUUGUUUUCAAUAUUAUAAACCACCCCACCCCCCCCACCCCCCUUUUUUUCCAAUCAUCUUAGGAAUCAACUGGUUACAAAUUCAUAAUCCCUUCAUUUGUUGGGCUCCCUUUUCUCUCACCUUUGACUCAGAAUAUUGUAAGGACAAUUGUCUCCCUCAAAUUCUUAUAUUUAAAUUAAGUCACAAAACUCUAAUACCAGAACCAUAUUCAUAUUUUUUGGAUGUAUGUGGUAACAAAAAAGUUGAUGCUCUUUCCAGAAUUCCUGUUAAUGCUUCUGCAAAAGAGAAAACUUGAUGAGAUGGAAUGCAGUGAAAUUCCAUCUGAUAUCUCCUUGAUGAGAUGGAAUGCACCAUAAGUCCCGAGCCAACUUUUAAUGGGCUCUGAAAAGUGAGAGUUUGCUGAUUAUCUUUACAUAUCCAUACAUGCGAUAUACAGGUUACGAUGUGUGUGUGUGUGUUUUUUUUUUUGUUUGUUUGUUUGUUUUUUUUGCUUUAUAUCUAUUUAAUCUAGGGAAAAUACAUUUCACUAUAUUGUUUACCAAAAAACAAACAAAAAAAACAACUUUCAUUUGUAAGGGAAACCAUCGAUAUCUGUGUGCGCAAAUCACCUUGCUUGUUUUUAAAUUCCCUACAUAUAGACUACACCGAAUGCUGAUUGGCUAUUGGAUAUUCCAUUGCAAUUACUUGACUGUUUUGUUUUUUUGUUUUUUCUUGUAUUGUUUCACUAAACAUUAUUGAAAUAGUCUUUGCUACUGGAGUUUAGUAAAGAAAUGCAUAAUACGUGCCCCUUGUCUUUAAUGCAAUGUAUAUUUUCUGACAUUAAGACUAGAAAUAUCUUGAAUUUGAAGCACUUUACAAUUUUGCGAGAAAAACUUGGUGUUUAGUUACUCAGCUUCUUUCACAUGCAUAAUUAAUGCACCACCAACCUUCUGUCCUUGACAUGUAUAUUCCAGAUUGUAUGUGUGUGUGUUAAUUUUCUUUUUAAAAUUAUUGUUAUUUUUAUAGAGCCAACAAAUUCAGCAGCACUUUACAGUGGGUGAACGAACAAACAUAGUUGUAACCAGACAAGUUGGACACCCAGGGACAAAGGGGUUGAGGGCCCUGCUCAAUGAGCUUACAUUCUAGAGGGAAUGGGGUAAAGUGACAUAAAAGGUAAGGAUAGUAUUAGACAUAUGACAGUUGCAAGAGAGGAAUCAGUCGGUAGCUAUUAACAGUUUAAUUGAUACACUUUUGAAGAAGUGGGCUUUUAAUGAUUUUUUGAAGGAGGGAAGACUGGGUGAGCAUCUAACAGAGGAGGGAAGUGAAUUCCACAGGAGCAGUGCAGCCCUCAAAGUCUUGAACGCAAGCAUCAGGGGUGGGGGGUAGGUACGGACAGAAGAUAGACAUAAGUCUUUGGGGCCUAGACAGGAUAUACUUGUGUUUUACAGAGGAUAGAUAGGUGGGAACAGCAUUAUGUAGAGAUUUGAAAGCAAGAAAAAUAAUUUUAAAUGAAACCCUAUAUCUUACAGGAAGCCAAUGUAGGGACUGACAGAAGGGUGAGGCGUGGGAGGUGCGGGUGAACAGGAAGAUGAGCCUUGAAGCUGCUUUUAUUAUGGACUGGAGUGGCACAAGUUGGGAUCAUGUAAGACUACUGAGAAGCAAAUUAUAGUAGUCAAGGCGAGAAAGAACAGUGGAAUGGACCAGCACCUUAGUCGCAUCUGGCAUUAAGUAGAAUAUGCACAAUGUUUUUGAGAUGAAAGUGGCAGAAUUUGGCGAAAGACUGAACAUGAGGCGUGAGGGAGAGGUUGGAGUCAAAGAGAAAACCAAGGCAGUGAGCCUGCAUGGUGGAGCUGAUGGUAGCACUGGUGACUUGGAUGGGGACAGGCACAGGAGUAGCAACACUUAAGGGAGUAAAGACCAGCAUUUUGGGUUUGGUCAAGUUGAGUUUAAGGAAGUGGGCAGCCAUCUAGUUAGAAAUAGCAGAGAGGCAGUCAGAGAAACUAGUCAAGAGGGAUGGGGAUAGAUCAGGAGAGGACAGAUUUGAAUGUCAUCUGCAUAGAAAUAAUAUUGGAAGCCACAUGACUUAAUGUUUUUACCAAGAGAGGCAGUAUUGAUGGGGAACAGUAGGGGACCAAGGACUGAACCUUUGGGGACAUCAACAGAGAGGAUUUGGGGAGAAGAAGCAGAGCCAGAGAAAGAAAAGCUGAAAGAGCGCUGGGAGAGGUAGGAGGAGCACCAGGAGAGAGCAAUAUCUUGUAGACAGAUAUUGCAGAGGAUGAGAAAAAGCUGUUGAUGAUCAACAGGGUCAAAAGCCACAGAAAGGUCAGGGGGAAUUAGGAUAGAGUAGUGACCACAAGGUUUUGCAGCAAGUAGACAAUUGGAUACUUUGGUCAGUGCCAUUUCCACAGAGUGCUUAGCGUGGAAACCAGACCGAAGAGGGUCUAGCAGAGAGUUGAACUCAAGGAAGUCUGUCAAUCUCGCUUAGACAACUCUUUCAAGGAUCUUGGACGCAAAAGACAGUAGCGAGAUAGGACAGUAGUUGGGUGUGGAGUUAGGGUCACGGUUGGGCUUCUUAAGAAUUGGGGUUACAGUUGCAUGUUUGAAGGUCAAUGGAAAUAUGCCAGAUGAGAGAGAGAUUGAUAAUUCCAGUGAGUGGUAGAACAAGAGGAGAGAGUACGGAUGAGAUGCAAGGGCAUUGGAUCUAGGGAGCAGGUGGUGGAGUGAGAGGACUGGAGCAGAGCAGAAACCUCUUCUGCUGUAGCUGGUGCGAAUGAAGAUAGAACAGCAGAGGGAGUGAGGUUAGGGGGGAGUAUUGUAAGGGGAAGAAGAAAGAUGAGAGGUCUCUCCCCUGAUUGUAGAGAUCUUGUUAGUGAAGUGAGUUGAAAAGUCUUAGGCAGUCAAGUUAGUAGGUGGAGGAGGAACAAUAGGGUGAAAAAGAAACUGUGUCGUUCUUUAUUCAUAUCUCAUUAAAAAGUCUGUGACAUUCUUUAGUCAUAUCUCAUGAAAAGUCUUCCAUGGUCCUAGCUUGAUAUAAAAAUGAGCACAAUGAGGUAUUAUGUUUAGACUUCAUUCUGCAUUUUUGCAGAGUUGUAUAGAGAUCAGAUUGUCAUCCUCAAGGCUAUAUUAAUGUGGUUCUUAACCCCUUAAGGACCAAACUUCUGGAAUAAAAAAUAAUCAUGACAUGGGGUUAAAAGGACAUUCCAGACACCAAUACUACUGCAAAACAUUUUGAUUUAAAGGUUUUGGCACAGCAGGGCGAAGUAAUAUGUUUGCCAAGAAUAUAGAGAGAAAAUAGAAGGGGACCAAGGAUAGUGCCUUGGGGGACUCCAACCGAGACAGGGCAAGGGGAUGAGGUAUCAUUAGAAAAGGAGUGGAUGGGUGUUGGGAGAGAUAGGAGGAAAACCAUGAGAGGACAGUCACAAAGACCAAGUGACUGAAGAGUUUGAAGAAAGAGAACAUGAUCAAUGGUGUCAAAGGAGAUCAGAAUUAGUAUGGAGUAGUGGCCUUUGGAUUUAGCUGCGAUUAGGUCGUUAGUAACUUUGAUAAGAGCAGUCUCAGAGUGGAGAGUGCAGAAGCCAGACUGAAGAGGGUCAUAGGAUAUGUAACGAUGGUUAGAGGGGGAGGAUGGGUCAAUAGAUGUUUUUAUUUUUUUCAGGAUAGGUUCUACAGUGGCAUGUUUAAAGUCAGCAGGGGCGACACCAGAAGAGAUAGAGCAGUUGGAGAUGUGUGUUACGGAAGGGAUGAGAGAGGUGAGAGAGAUCUGAUAAGGAGAGGUGGGGCAGGAUCGAACGAGCAAAUGAUGGGGCGAGAGGAAAGGAGAAGCACAGCCACCUUUUGUCCAGUAGCUGGGGAGAAAGUCUGAAGGAUAGAAAAGGCUUGAUCUACAUGUGGUUGAGAAAGAGAACAGCAAGUUGGGGAUAAUUAUUUCCUUAGCUGUUUAAUCUUGUCAGUAAUGUAGCAUGCAAAGCUAUCAGCAGUAAGGUUAGGUUGGGGGUGGCCACAGCAGGGCGAAGAAGAGAGUUAAAGGUGUCAAGGAGACACCUGGGAUUGCUGGAGCAUGAACUAAUGAGAGAGGUAAAGUAUGACUGGUUGGCAAGGGCAAGACCUGCACUGCACUGUAUGGACACAAUAUGAAUCUACAGUGCAGAUAGUAUGCCUUGGUGCUAGACCUCCUCCAGGAGUGUUGAGCACAACUAGAACAUCUUUGCAGGUAGCGUGUUGAUUUAGUAUGCCACGGUUGAGGCUGUGUCCUCCUCAAGGUGCAUGUUUGCAGCGUUCAAGGCAGAGGUGAGGGUAGUGUUAUAUGUGGAGAUGAUAGUAAGGCGAGAUAUAGGUGGCGCUUAGGGAUGUACGCAUAUGGUGCUGCUAAAUAACACAAGUAUAUUGUUACUUUAUAUACUUCAAACAAGAAUAGAAUAAAAAAAAAAAAAAAAAUAAGGUGAAAGUGCACUAUACCUUGAAUGUAUAGUACACUUGGUAAAAGGUGGUGAAUUUUCUUUUACAUAUAGAGAGUAUACUUGGUGACAAACGGUACAAUUUACCUAUACAGAGAUAUAAACAAAACACAACAUAGUGUAAUCUGUAUGUAUAUUAAAUAAAAGGGAGGUUCUGAGCUCGAAACACUCACAAUAUUGUGAGCCAAUUAAAGUUGGCUCUGGACUUAUAGAGAGUAUAUAUCUCCAUUAAGGACAUGAACAGCCUUUCUCCAUUUGAUGAGUCCCCCAUUUUUUAUUGUUAUUAUUUUGUAUUUAUUUAUUUAUUUAUUUAUUUUUUUUUUUUCAGAUAGUGGAAAGUUGGAUUCAGGAACUAGGAGUUGGAGAUAUUUUAAAAGUAACUUUUUAUUACUAUAUGUUAUAUAAAACAAAUAAAAAUGCACAACACAUUUCAACCAUAAGCAUGUGGUCUUCCUCAGGUGCUGCUGAAUGUUACAAUGGAGGUGAAACUGUUUAUAUAUGUUACAACAUCAGUAAAACAUAAUAGCAUAACUAAUCACACAUGUUAAUAGAAUGCACCCAUUUCCUUACAUGGUCUGGGCCGGAUUUACACCUGCCACCCCCAACAUGGUGGCACUUCCGGUCCGGACAUAUUGAAACCGCCAUAUUGGUGGUUUUAAAAGACACUUUACAGAAUAUGUACACAUAUUUAGCAUGUCACAUCAAAAUGAUAUAGCUCCCUUCUAGAUAGAGAAAGCAACAGCAUGAUGCAUAACACGUUGGUGUCUCCUUCCCCGGGAUAUGAAUAGAAGUAUUUGUGGAUGUGUCAUGCCACUUCCUGUGACGUGUCGAACUUCAGUUUAGUCUGUCGCAUCAUUUCCGGUUUUGACGUGCAUAUCAAAAAUGACACUUCUCCCUCUUCUAUGGUUGCCUGCCAGGCUUAUAUGGUGAAAUGUAGUGUAGUUUACAUAUAUUUGAAGUUGCAGACACCAUUUUCAAAGAGGUAAAAAGUCCCACAUAUGGAAAUUAAAAUAGAAAUACAAAAUAUAUAAUUAUAAAUAUAAAAAUCACACACAUUAAAAGGGAAUGUAUUGUAUAAAGGAAUAAAUAUUCCCCGAAAAUUAAAACUAAUAUACAAAUAAAGAAAAGGAGGGGAAAUAAAAUAUUAUUGAUCUCAUUCAAUGUCGAUGUCUAAUCCUUUAGGGGUUAAUGUGCGUAGCUCAAAUAUCCAUUUGGAUUCUUGUAUACUAAGAGCCUUGACAAUAUCCCCUCCUCUCCAGUUUAUGUUCACCUUAUCAAUUGCACAAAAAUCUAAGUAGUUUGGAUCAGAGUCACGGUAUUCCAAAAAAAAUGUCUGGAUACACUGUGGUUGGGGAAGCCCUUUCUAAUGUUCCUGAGAUGUUCACUUGUUCUAAUUUUUACUUGACGGGAUGUCUUCCCCACAUAUUGAAAACCGCAACUACACCAACACCCGAUAGAUAACAUUAGAGGAAUGAGACAUAAUCCGGGAUUUGAUUUGAUAUUUUCUUUCAGUAACAGUAGAAUACAAGUUUUCUACUUUCUUAUUCAAUAUUGUGGUGUUGCAACAAAGUUCCACAAUGAAAAAAAAAAACAAAAAAAAAAAAACACCUUUUCUUCUUGUGUCCAACUCUUUAAGACAUUUCUUGGGGCUUCAUUUUUUAUAAAGCUGGUAGUCAGAAUCUGUUUUAGGUUUCUAGCACCCAUGCAAAUAAGCUUUGGUUUGAUACCUAUAUACUUUUGCACAUCUUUUUCUUGUUCAAAAAUGUGCCAAUUUUUUGUUUAUUAUUUUCUUAACGGCACCAACAUUGCUGGAGAAAUUAAAAAAUAAAUGGAAUCUGUUCAGUUUUGGUUUUAUUGGAGGUUAUCUCCUUUUUUUCUUAUAUUGCAAUAAAAGAGAUCUAUCUAUAUUGGCAACUGUAACAAGACAAGUUGGCCAGAGGGAUUGUCCAAAAAUCAAGAGAACAGAUAAGGUAAUAACCCUAAGGUAAUGAGACAAAGAAAAAAAAAAAAAAAAAAAAAAUGGGAGGCGGGGGUGGGGAGGGGGAGUGAAUACAAAACAGAAAAAGAAAAAGGUAAUUAACAUAAAUCCAAAUUAGUGAUCUGGAGCAAAGCUAAUAACAGUGAUCUCCAAGGUCACAAUUUAAUUAAAAAAAACAAAGUAACAAGCGAAGCUGCUUAAAAACUGUGUAGUAGAAUCAAAUACUGUAGUAUGAGAAGGAAACUAUAAGAUGUGCAGAUAGUUGACUCAAUAUCAUCAGCUUGCUACAAGUAUUACAAGAAUGUAUCAUUAGGUAAAUACAAUGUAUAAUGUAGUGGUUCGUAACAAUUCAUUCACAGUCAGAGGCUUUAACAGGAGGCACUAUCGAGCCAGUGUGAACUGUCAAUUGAAGACCUGAAAUCUAGUUCUGUAUAGACAAAUGUACUAGUUAGUGUGUGAAUCAUACAAAACAAUAGAGCAUGUAGCACUGCACAACCCAAAUAAAACACGAUCAGUGCAGUGGCUAGAUGUCCAACCAGACUUACUAAAUAGUGAAUCUGUAAGAUACCUAAAUAAAUAGAUGGAAAGCACAUACUAGAUAAGAACAAAUCAGAUAGAUAGGAAUAGUGCCUUCAUGGACACUAGUAACAGUGAAGUACAGAGAAAAUAAAAAUUGAAAGAGCAAAAAGCUCAGAAAUUACUAAUAAGAUGUAGUGGCUCUGUAGCUAAGCUUUAAACAGUACCUUGAUCGGUAUUUUGCUUCCCAAUAACUAGAAGUGGGCUCAUAAUCAACCAAAUUCUACGAUUACCAAAAUGAAUCACUAGGUUAUCGUGGAAUGAACGGUCCAAACUGCAGCUCUAAUGCUGUGGAGCAGAGAGGGAUGCAGACAGUGAUAUCAGGACUAAUCAAUAUGUUGCUUCCUGCUAACUAGAAUGGCUAACAAAUAGCCUAAUCCUGGAGAUACCCAAAAAUGUCACUGGGCUAUUGCAGGAUGGCAAAUUUAGACCACGGCAAGUAGAGAGAAGAGGGAUGCAAACGUAAAUGUGGAAGAGGUGUCAGAACGUUGUCAAGACCUGAACGGUGUCUCCUCCACGGCAUUUGCGCUGCGGUUUGGACCGUUCAUUCCACGGUAACCUAGUGAUUAAUUUUGGUAAUCAUAGAAUUUGGCUGAUUAUGAGCCCACUUAUUUGGAUUUAUGUUAAUUACCUUUCUUUUUCUGUUUUGUAUUCACUCACCCACCCCCCCACCUUUUUUUUUUUUUUUCCUGUGUGUAUGCCCCUCACACAUUUCUCUUCGUCUGAGUUAGACAGUUAUAUUUAGAUAUAUGCACCACCUUUUUGGUGUAAAUAAAGUAUCCUCAAGAUUUUUAUUAACUCUAUAUUAUAGGGACACAUUUGCCUCCUUUUCUUUAUAUUGACAACUGUAUUGAUGCUGUCUCGCAGAUCUGGUUUAUCAUAACCUUUUUUGUUCAAGUUUAUUUUUAAGGACUGUUGAUUGGGUAAUGCAAUCUUCCUGAUUCGUACAGUUUCUGCGUACCCUUAAAAACUGUCCUUUGGGUAUGUUUGUCAACCAAGGGUGAUGAUGACCACUCUCUAGUUAAAUGAAACUGUUGACAUUGACUUGUUUGAAGAAGGUUUGGGUCAUUAACCCCUUAAGGACACAUGACAUGUGUGACAUGUCAUGAUUCCCUUUUAUUCCGGAAGUUUGGUCCUUAAGGGGUUAAAAUAUUAUUGUGAAUAAAAAAGUACAAUGUUAUCUGCACUAAAUUUUUUUGAAGGAAUGAUGCCCCAGUUGUUGUGGUUUAGAUGUUCAAAAAAUUGAAGAAAAGAUUAAUUAGAUCCCUUCCAAAUAAUAAAAAUGUCAUCUGUAUAUCCCUUGUACAGGACCAAGUAUGCACCAUAGUCAUGCCCAUGAUGAACAUAUGAUUCUUCCCAAUAAGCCAUGAAAAGAUUGUCAUAACUUGGCGCAAACUUGGUCCCCUUGACAUAACUUGGCACAAACAUGUUUUUUUGGAAUACCAUGACUCUGACCAAAAAUACUUCGAUUUUUGUGCCAUUGAUAAGGUGAACAUAAACUGGAGAGGAGGUGAUAUUGCCAAGGCUCUUAGUAUACAAUAAUCCAAAUAGAUAUUUGAGCUACGCACAUUAACCCCUAAAAGGACUGAACAUUGUCUUUGGGAGCAAUAAUAUUUUAUAAUACAUACAUAUAUGUUUUAGAUAUUUUCUAGUAUAUUUGUCUUGGUUUGGGUUUAUAUAUAUAUAUAUAUAUAUAUAUAUAUAUAUAUAUAUAUAUAUAUAUAUAUAUAUAUAUAUAUAUAUAUAUAUAUAUUCUAUUUUGUUGGGUAUAUAUAUAUUUUUUUUUUUUUAUGUAUUCCUUUAUACAAUAUAUUCCCUUUUAAUGUGUGUGAUUUAUAUAUUUAUAAUAUAUAUCUUUUGUAUUUAUAUUUUAAUUUCCAUAUGUGGGACUUUUUACCUCUUUGAAAAUGGUGUCUGCAACUUCAAAUAUAUGUAAACUAUGCUACAUUUCGCCAUAUGAGCCUGACAGGCAACCAUAGGCGACGGAAAAGUGUCAUUUUUAUAUGUACAGCAGAACCGGGAAUGGCACGACAGAUUAAACUGAAGAUCGACAAGUCACAGGAAGUGACACAACGCAUCCACAGAUACUUCUAUUCAUAUCCCGGGGAAGGAGACACCAACAUGUUACUCAUAAUGUUGUUGUUGUCUCUACCCAAAAGGAAGCUAUAUCAUGUUGAUGUGACAUGCUAUAUACUUGUAUAUAUUUUGUAAAGUGUCUUUUAAAACCACCAAUAUGGCGAGGUUGGAUAUGUCCGGACCGGAGGUACCGCUAUGUUAGGGGUGGCAGGUGUACAUCUGGCCCAGACCAUAUAUGGAAAUGGGUGUAUUCAAUUAGCAUGUGUGAUUAAUUAUGUUAUUAUGUUUUAUUGAUGUUGUAACAUAUAUAAACAGUUUUACCUGCAUUGUAACAUUCAGCAGCACCCGAGAAAGACCAUAUGCUUAUGGUUGAAACAUGUGCAUUUUUAUUUGUUUUAUAUAACAUAUAGUAAUACAAAGUUACUUUUAAAAUAUCUCCAACUACUGGUUCUGGGAUUCCAACUUUCUACUAUCUCAAAAAAAUAUAUACUUAUUGGGGGACUCAUCCAAUGGAGAAAGGCUGUCCAUGUCUUUAAAGGAGACAUAUAUGCCCUAUAAGUCCAUAGCCAACUUUAAUUGGCUCGAUACAUUGUGAGUGUUUCGAGCUUAGAACCUCCCUUUUAUUUAAUGUACAUACAGAUUACACAUGUCAUGUUUUGUUUAUAUCUCUGUACGGGUAAAUUAUACUGUUACCAAGUAUACUCUCUCUAUAUAUAAGGGAAAUUCAUCAUCUUUUACCAAGUGUACUAUACAUUCAAGGUAAAACAUUUUUUUAAAAAUUUUUUUAUUAAAUGUGGAUAUGGCCAGUGAGGGACAGAUAGCAGUUGUGAAUUAAUAUCAGCUGAAAGCUGCUGGAGGUCAAUACAAUUAAGGUUCCUCCUGAGGUGAGGGGGUACUCCUGAACAAAUUAUAAGGAAAUGGAGUGUUGGAAAUAUUAAACACUGUACAUGCAUUAGAGAAAAUAAGGGUCAAGGGUAUUGCCAGGUACAUGGGUGGGGAAAUUAAGAGGGAGUAAUUAAAAAGUAGUUUAGAGGCUGCUGAGGUCAAAGGUGGGUUAAUGGGAAUUUCAAAGUCCCCAAGCAUUAGAGAUGGACUAUCAGAGAGGAAGUAGGGUACCCAGGUAAUAUAAAAUUAAUCUGUACUAACAAUGCAUUUUUUCUGUGUAUUCUAAUUGUGUUCACUAUAACAUAGUUACAGUCCCUUCUUAUUUUUCCCCCAUAGAAAGGAAGCCUUUCUUGCCACCCAAUUUGAAUCAGUUGAUGACCUACUAUCUUCUUUUGGUCCAGUACGCAAUUGCACACUCAGUAAUGGUGGCUGUUCACGCAACUUUAAAUGUGUCUCAGAACGCAAAAUUGACUCAACAGGGUGUGUG
Pelobates cultripes (western spadefoot toad) is the source of this 30412-nucleotide non-coding RNA. The record is from the annotation of a GenBank genome assembly. Lineage: Eukaryota; Metazoa; Chordata; Amphibia; Anura; Pelobatidae.